UACGUAGGUGGCAAGCGUUGUCCGGAUUUACUGGGCGUAAAGAGCGCGCAGGCGGUCGUUCAAGUCGCGUGUGAAAGCCCCCGGCUCAACUGGGGAGGGUCACGCGAUACUGAUCGACUCGAAGGCAGGAGAGGGUAGUGGAAUUUCCGGUGUAGCGGUGAAAUGCGUAGAUAUCGGAAGGAACAUCAGUGGCGAAGGCGACUUCCUGGACCAAUACUGACGCUCAGGUGCGAAAGCGUGGGGAGCAAACAGG
RNAcentral lists this ribosomal RNA (253 nucleotides) under uncultured bacterium. RNAcentral's name for it is "partial 16S ribosomal RNA". It matches the Rfam family "Bacterial small subunit ribosomal RNA", at positions 524 to 776 of the family's 1533-position model. The record is from RNAcentral.